Molecule: long non-coding RNA, 213 nt
Filed under: Mytilus galloprovincialis (Mediterranean mussel)
Lineage: Eukaryota; Metazoa; Mollusca; Bivalvia; Mytilida; Mytilidae
Source: RNAcentral
GCUUAAAUAAUCAGGGGUCUUAUUGUGAAACAUUUCAUGAAAUUUUAUAAUUUUGUGUUUUUUACGUCUUUCUGAUAGUAACUCCCAUCCUGUUUCGUCGUAUAAUUUAUUUAUGGACGAUAACUUAGUACCACCAGUAACUAUCCUAGCCGCUUCAAGUUGCAUAUUUUCUAGUUUAUCACUUAAAUAGUCUGGAAUGUUGUCCCAAAUGAU